Cucumis melo (muskmelon) is the source of this 1534-nucleotide RNA transcript. RefSeq lists it as uncharacterized. The transcript has 13 exons. The record is from RefSeq and is a predicted model, not a curated record. Lineage: Eukaryota; Viridiplantae; Streptophyta; Magnoliopsida; Cucurbitales; Cucurbitaceae.
GCAAUCGAUUCUCUUGGAUUUCCUUGGGCGUUCCAUCUUGGUCUAAACCUUCGUCCUACUCUGUACUCUCCUCUCUCCGGCGCGCUUCUUUGCUCUGAAUUCCAGCUCUCCGCUUCAGUAUGGCGAAGGAGGUCUAUACCAGGGAAGACUUACUUGAGCUGUUGCAGGAUCUUCAAGUUGAUUUUUCCAGGUACGAACAUCCUGCUGUAUUGACAGUUGAAGCUCAGGCAAAAUAUGUUGGAAAUUUGGGGGGUGGACUCAGUAAGAAUCUGUUUUUGAAGGACAAAAAGAAUAGAUACUACAUUGUUUCUGCAUUGGCAGACACCAAAGUGGAUCUAAAAGUUCUAUCUGUGAGACUUGGUUUGGGUAAAGGUGGUCUGAGAAUGGCUCCCGAGGAAGCAUUGGGUGAGAAACUUAAGGUGUCCCUGGGUUGUGUUACUCCAUUUGCACUCAUCAAUAAAACAGCACGGGAUGUCGCCUUGUUGUUGGACCAGGGAUUUAAAGGCCAGGAAUUUUGCUUCUUUCAUCCUUUGUCAAACGAAACAUCAAUAUCCAUUAAUACCAGUAAUCUUGACAAGUUCCUUCAAUCGAUUGGGAGAGACCCUUCAUAUGUUGACUUGGAGGCUAAUCCUUCUGUAGGAAAGGAUCAACCCCCAGAUCUUGCCGGACUUGUUCCAUCUGGUUCUGCCCUUCUGCCUGAUACUCCAGAGAAAGUAUCUUCUCGCCCAGAUUCUAAUGAAAAUCAUGGUGUUACCGACAAGAAGUCUAAAGCAGUUGCAGUGAACACAGUCAAACCAUCUACCACUGUGAAAGUUGGAAAGGACAAACCUACACCCAAUGGUCGACCAACCUAUGCAAAUGUGGAAAAAUUUGUGGAAGAGAUCCUUGAUAAGACGUCGGCAAUAGUGCUCUCAGAGCUGACAGAGGAGACAGUUAAUAAACAUGGAGAGCAUCUGGGAGCCGUGGUGUCAAACAGCAUUAAGAGACAUCUCAGCUCGGAAUUGAACAAUCUUUCUAUGAUAUUUAAGAACGUUGCAUACACAGAAGGGUUUCAUGCUGGGUCUUCCCAUAAAGUGAAACAUGCAUGCUGAUAUCUGCCUGUGGUUCCAAGUAACCAGAGAAGAGAACUUGGACAGAAGGCGGAUCAAAGAGUUGAAUCAUCUGAUUAGUGCUUUUGUUGAGACCGUAGAAUAAUUAGAAGAUAUUUGAAAGAAGGCAAUGAAGUGGCAUGCCAUACCAAAUGUGUACCAUGGUAAUGAAUCUAAAGAAUACAUUUUUUGUUUCCAGUGUCUUCGUACAUGCACACACGUGUUUACAUUUCUAGCGAAGAGUUUCAAGUAAAAUCCAAGUUAUUUGCAGCAUAAACAUCGACAUUAGAAGGGCUGAGGAAGCGAGGUAGGAUGAACCACCCCUUGAAUUAAUUUCUGGAAAAUGGAAUAAAAUAUCUGAGUCAGAAUCCGUGAUGGAUUAAAAGAACCAUUUUUAUUUGUUUACUUUCUAUACUUUUAUUUUCAAUUUAGUAGAAUUCGUCAAA